This 1209-nucleotide long non-coding RNA is filed under the name Felis catus (domestic cat). RNAcentral describes it as "lncRNA (ENSFCAG00000053407.1)". Lineage: Eukaryota; Metazoa; Chordata; Mammalia; Carnivora; Felidae. The record is from RNAcentral.
UGGGAAGCCAGCCCAAGGUGGGUGAGGGACAUGCUUCCCUAUCCAUAUUUUUGGUGCUUGAACAAAAAGAUUUUUAACUCAUCAAACUUGCAAAUACAACGAACUAGAUUUGGCCUUUUAAAGAUCCAGACUGUGUGUGUGCAUGUGUGUGCGCGUGUGUGUGUGUACGAGUAUGUAUGCAAAUGAGGCCCGCAUGCAGUGCAGUGGCUAUGGGCGCAUGCUCUGAUAUUGAACUUCCGAUAUGCAAAUUUGGCUCCAACACGGACUGAACUUGGACAAAUCACUUAAGCUCCACACCUCUGUUUCCUUAUCUUUUAAGAUGGGCUUAAUACUAAUAACUAGCUCAUAAGACUGUGAGGAUUGAAGAAGGUGCAGCAGGUACAAUGCCUAGCAGGGGCGAGCAGGAAAUGCCCUAACUGGAAUGAUCAGGCCUACGGGAGCUUACACUGUUCUUGUCCAAAGAAAAAAACAAUUUAACUCUUCUCUACUAAGGAAAAAUAAUCACCAGGCUUCUGUGACCUGAAUUGAAGGAAAAGAAUUCAGGCAGAAAGCCCAAGAAGUUUCUAAUUCCCUCUUCUUGUAGGCCUCUUUCCAUUUUUAUUGAAGCAAAAAAAGUCGAGUAGCAAGAGGCAUGCCAGCUGUUGCAUGAUUGUGCAAAAUUCUGCUUCUUCCAGCAGAGGCCUCCUGUGCACAGGAAAUGAGGCUGGCGGGGUGGUGGAGGGGGGACGGCGGAGGGGACAGCCGUGGGCCACCACACUGGUUUCCAGGAGGCUUCCCCUGAAUGAGGCAGGAAGGAGGGGCUGGGGAAGAGUUUGCAGGGCCUCCUAAUGCCGGAUGCCAGUGCCGCCCAAAUGUGCAAGUCUUUCUUCAAGAUCUAAAAUGGUCCCUGGCUCCUGUAAGUGUGCAUAUGUUGAUCGUCACUCAAGAGGCGCUCUGGGGCCCUGUCUGUGUGACCUUCCCUUUCGGAGCAGCCACGCGUUCUGUGAUGGGCUGCAGAGCCAGGCCGAGGAGUGCCGUGUGAGCACUGAAGGCCGAGUCCAGACCUUGCUGCUUCCACUAGACCAGGAACCUCCAGGUACCUCGGGGGCUUUGUCAUUGCAAAAAAAUGGGCAGGAAUUAAAACCCCUCCCUGUUUAUUUCUCAGAUUGUUAUGAGAAUAAAUAUUUGAAAAUAUUUUGUAAACGAAAGUUUUCAGCUUUUGUAUUUUGA